RNAcentral lists this ribosomal RNA (1693 nucleotides) under Parastrombidinopsis costalis. RNAcentral describes it as "partial large subunit ribosomal RNA". It matches the Rfam family "Eukaryotic large subunit ribosomal RNA", at positions 111 to 1857 of the family's 3401-position model. Lineage: Eukaryota; Ciliophora; Spirotrichea; Choreotrichida; Strombidinopsidae. The record is from RNAcentral.
AGACUGGAAAUCUCCAAUCAGCGAUUGGCGAAUUGUAAUCUGAAGCAGCUGGCCUAACUGGGAGCGUCGCAGAAGUGUCCACGAGCGGACCGCCAAAGAGGGUGAGAGCCCCGUAUGUGGUGACGAGACCAACCGGGCAGGUUGUAGAAGAGUCGUGUACUUUGAUACUAGUGCACUAAGAGGGAGAUAAACUUCUUCUAAGGCUAAAUAUAUGUAGGAAACCGAUAGCGAACAAGUACUGUGAAGGAAAGAUGAAAAGCACUUUGGAAAGAGAGUUAAAAGACUUGAAAUCGUUGAGGCGGAAGCGGUAGAAAUGAAUUGAAAGCUGGGCCCGGCGAAGUCUGCGUAAAAGCGGACGGGUUGGGCGCAGAAAGAAGACAAGAUGGGGUCGAACAAUGUCAAAGGUGGAGUAGAACCGGGGCAAUAGCUCAUUCUACACUAACUGGAUGUUGAUCGGCUUGAGGAGCUUAGGCGAUCUUGUCAAAAUGGUUUUUACCGACUCGUCUUGAAACACGAACCAAGGAGUCUAAGACUAACGCGAGUAUGGUGGUGGAAAAACCAACAUGCGAAAUGAAAGUAAAUGAUGCCAAGGCAACAGCAGCAUCGACCGACCAUGAUCACUAGAGAAAGGUUUGAGUAAGAGCGUUAUUCUUAGGACCCGAAAGAUGGUGAACUAUGCCUGUGUAGGGUGAAGUCAGGGGAAACUCUGAUGGAGGCUCGUAGCGAUACUGACGUGCAAAUCGUUCGUCGAACAUGGGUAUAGGGGCGAAAGACUAAUCGAACCAUCUAGUAGCUGGUUCCCUCCGAAGUUUCCCUCAGGAUAGCUGGGACAAGAACGCAGUUUUAUUAGGUAAAGCGAAUGAUUAGAGGCCUCGGGGAUAAAAUGUCCUCGACCUAUUCUCAAACUUUAAAUUGGUAAGAACUCCGGCCUUUCUUAAGUGAGGCACGGAGGCUCAAUGCGUGUCCUUAGUGGGCCAUUUUUGGUAAGCAGAACUGGCGAUGAGGGAUGCUCCUAACGUUGGGUUAAGGUGCCAAACUACACGCUCAUCAGAAACUACAAAGGGUGUUAGUUCAUCCAGACAGCAGGACGGUGGCCAUGGAAGUCGGAACCCGCUAAGGAGUGUGUUACAACUCACCUGCCGAAUGAACUAGUCCCGAAAAUGGAUGGCGCUAAAGCGUGUGACCGAUACCCAACCAUUGGCACGAGAGUGAGGUGUCAAUGAGUAGGAGGGCGUGAGCGUCGUAGAGAAGCCUCUGGUGUGAACCUGGGUUGAACGGCGUUUAGUGCAGAUCUUGGUGGUAGUAGCAAUUAUUCAAAUGAGAACUUUGAAGGCCGAAGUGGAGAAGGUUUCCGUGAGAACAGCAAUUGGUCACGGGUGACUCGAUCCUAAGACAUGGGGGAAAUCCUUGUUAAGUGUGCGCUAGCACGUAGUCGAAAGGGAAUGAGGUUAAUAUUCCUCAAGCUGGAUGUGGGCGUUAAAUGGCAACAUAAACGAACUUAGAGACGCCAGCGUGAGCCUCUGGAAGAGUUAUCUUUUCUUUUUAACAGCUUAGUGCCCCUGAAAUUGGUUUACCCAGAGAUAGGGGGACAUGGCUGGAAGAGCACCUUGCUUUUCGAGGUGUCAGGUGCGCUCAUGAUGGUCCAUGAAAAUCUAAGUGAGAUAGUUUCACACCAGGUCGUACCCACAACCGC